CAUAAAAUAACCUUGUAUUGACAAAACUCAGAAUUUUUAUAGCCUAUUACCUACACGGUAUGUUUUUUUUUUUCUUACAUCAAGAAUCGGUUCAUAAAGUUUUUUUUAUCGGGUUACACUUCUCUUUGCCACUUUUCGUGUUGUUUGUUCGACUCAGACUCUAUAAAACCGACACAAGAGCAAUUCAUCAAAGAGUCGAAUUGCACUGACUGUGCUGCAUAAUCUGGUAAUCAGACAGUUCUCAUUUUGAUGGCCCAUCUCCAGCUUGGACUGCCAGAGGAAAUGUCCGCGUUUUUCAGUGCACAAAACCAUUAUCCGAAUAUUGAAUACUGAAUUUCACUUAACUGAAAGGCUUGAAAAUAGGUCAGAAACAGACCAACAGGGGACGCCGUUUGCCAUUGCAGCCUCAAGUCACGUUAUUACUCGUCUUCCGCUACAUGCUCGCGCUAAACUAAUUUACAGGUUUAAACGACGUAGGUUGACGAUCAUCUUCAUCAUCAUUAUUAAGAAACUCUGUCCAUCCAGAAAUCCUGGUGUUUCCUGGAGGACAUACCCUCACUCCAUCCAGAAUGAAUCCGCUACACCUGUGUGUGAAAAGGUCACCUGACCACCCGUUGGCGAGUCAAGACCGAUCCCGCUGCCACACCAGAUUAUAGACAGAGGUGGAAAUGACAGUAGAUCUGUACCAUCCCCUGGCUCAUGACCUGCUACUGAAAUACUUCAAGUUAAUCGAUAAAACAGUGGUGCGUUUCCCAGCUAAUGUCAAGUGUCUGAGGACCACCACCUUGAUGCAUUAUUAAAUGCACAUACGCAGACUGGAGGCAAAGACGUGGAACAGAAGCCCCGGCGAAAUGAACGCAAGAUCUGACAGAGAGAGCGAAAGAGGGAGAGAAAACUUAAUUGAAGCCUGAUUACUGGCCCUUGGGAGGUUACAGUUUAUUAAUAUGUCACUUUCAAUAAAGACACUCCCAUAUUCAGAUUCACUGUUACCAUGGAAACCUCGUUUCUUUUUACGUUUGACUUUUUUUCCCCUCCCUGAGUGGAAGGAGAGGUUAAUGACACAAAUCCUCCCGACGCUCAGGUUGAUUUUCAAACCCCUCUGUCUGAAAUAAUCAGUGUUUUGCUUUUCUACAGCUCUGUCUUUGCCCUCUGAGCCGCUGUGGGAAGAGAGGAGAUAUUUUAUGCCCAUUAUUCAUUAUGUGUUCGAUUUUUCAGGAAACCAAAUGGCCCACAUUUAAACAGCCUGUGAAAUAAUACAGCUGAAGAUUUACAUUUAAUGUGCAGUACAAGUAAUUUAAUGUUUGUUUUUCACUUAAAGUUAUUAAUCUUCCAGAACAAUCAAUGUGUCAGUAUUAGCCCCUCUGCUGCCCCCACCAGUUUUGGAGUACAUAUGGCGUUUAUGUGGUGUUAUCCCAGGAUGACCAGUGCACGCAAGUUGAAAUUCUCUGGAAAAUGUAGGUGUUGGAGGUAUGUCUGUUUACAGCAUAUUAACUCUAAAAUUGCAAGUUAAGGCUAGUUAUGUGAUUUCAAAUUGGGCAUGGAGAAUCUACUUUGCAUUGUACACAGAAGACUGCUAACUGUUUCCAAUUUCUAGGCUGCUGAUAUGUCAUAUUUCAUUUUAUUGUACAUGUUAAACAUAUUUUCUAAAAUCACUAUUCAUAUCUGUAAGUGUACGAGUUAAAAAAAACACUUAAAUUGAUUGAUUUACUGUCAGACAGCUUCUGUAUUGACUGGUUGUAUGAAUGGACUGUUACAUUCAUGCAGUGCUUUUCCAAACACUGUGUUUUUCAUGAAUGCAGUCUAUAGCGGUCACCAGUGUGACACAAUGGCAGCUGCAAUGUUUCUCUACUCGCAUCUAAUUGACUUUGUACAGAGAAAGACAUUUUUAGGUUUGUAGGUGGCAAAUGUUUGGAUAGGUGACCACAGUUUCAUAGUUGACAUCUUGGGACAUUUCUGACCACCAAAACAACUCAGUGUUGCAACACACGGCCAUCCUUGAGAGAUACUAUCAUAUACCAUGGAAGUGUUUGCUUGAAAUGCUUGUAGUAGAUGUAAACAGAUGCCUGAGUGAAAGUUACUUGUUUUGCUCGCAGGAAGCAGCCCUAAAUUCCGCAGUAGGCUUCCCAACCGUGUCUAGUCCAGACAACAAAAGCUUUGACACUGAGAUGUUCACAGUUUCUCUUAAGGCAGUGGUGGCAAGCUGUGUGUAAAGAGAGGAUUAUUUCAGCUGAAAUGGACCCGGUUUAUCUAUUGUAUAGCUGACGUGCCUACUGCCACUUUCCUCUUCCAGGCCUUGAUGAAGUCAGUGUUUGUUCUGGGUUGACAUAAUAGAACCCCGAAGAGCAUUGUAAAGGCCUGACUGGUCCAUCCACACACUCCUCAGCAAGGAGGAAGAAUUGAGUUUGAUUCACAGUCAAAAUUUAAAUGUUGGCGUACACCAUUGGGAGAAAAAAAAAAAAAAAAAAUCCAGAAAUGCAUUGACUCAGUAGAAACACUUUCUUUUAUCAGAGCCGUUUUUUCCCAGAUCUGUGUAAUCCUUUAGUGUGAUGUCAUGCAUUUCAGAUUCCUAAAAAUAGGAUAUCGUUAUUUAUAGCAAAUGAGGCGAGUGCUGUUUGUGCCAUGCCAUAUGAAAAAAAAAUAUAUAUAUAUAUUGUUUUCAUUGUGUUUCAGAUAUUUUUACCCACAAGCUGGUUGUUAGUUUUUGUUAAUUUACAUUUGAUGUGGGUGGCAGCUUCAAGCUUGUGUAUUAUAGCUAUAAAAGUGUUGCAUAGUUUUAUCAUUGUGUAAAGUCUUUGUGUCUGCGUGCCUUUUUCCAUGCAUUUGAGUUUGGCCUGGAAGUGUGUUAUCUGCAGCGCCUCAGUGGCAUUGAGCUCACUUCCUUCAUCAGAGACCCAAACCCCUGCAGAUAAGUUCCCCGGACCUGCCUCUACCAGGGGAAUUCUCCGACAGGAAGUGGCACAAUAGCCAGUCCAUUAGCUCCUAUUAGUCUGCACCUGCCUGUUACAGCAGGGCCAAAAUAAGCAACCAGCAGCACUUCCUGUCUGAGCUCAUAGUGCCAGAGCCCGGCACGCUGUGAAAUCACUCAGGGAGCAAUCGAGUCUUACACGAAACGGUAGCUCAGGGCCUGUGGGAUGGACUAUCAGGAGAAGUGAUUAUGCGUGUCUGAGAGAGAGAGAAAGGAAGAGCAUGGGGUAAAAGAAGCUGAUUUGCGAGGGUCUGCAUGUGUGUGUGUGUGUCUACACGAGUUAGUGCUGUCUCUGCAUGAGCAGGACUGAGUCAAUUGCUUUAGAUUGUGCUGAUGGACUGGAAUGCUUUCAGACCAACGCUUCCAUCUGAGGUGAGAUAGACAGACAAGCUGUCCACAUC
Molecule: long non-coding RNA, 3366 nt
Organism: Cyprinus carpio (common carp)
Lineage: Eukaryota; Metazoa; Chordata; Actinopteri; Cypriniformes; Cyprinidae
Source: RefSeq, a predicted model, not a curated record